AAAAAGUAUUGGUGGAAGAACUGUAAGAUAUGGGCAGUGUUGAUAGCAUUUGUUCGCAUCAUCAUCAUCAUCACCAUCACUGUCUGGAGUGUAUCCUCAUGAGUUACAAGAAGAAAUGCAAACCAGUGGAAGCCAUCUCUCUCCUUCAAACCUGCUGUAUUCUCAAGCUCUCACCUUCUGAUAUAUAAAGCAAAAUUAUUUUGAUUAGUC
Mauremys mutica (yellowpond turtle) is the source of this 210-nucleotide long non-coding RNA. RefSeq lists it as uncharacterized. The transcript is spliced from 3 exons. NCBI's taxonomy places the organism in Eukaryota, Metazoa, Chordata, Testudines, Geoemydidae. The record is from RefSeq and is a predicted model, not a curated record.